Molecule: transfer RNA, 72 nt
Filed under: Glossina brevipalpis
Lineage: Eukaryota; Metazoa; Arthropoda; Insecta; Diptera; Glossinidae
Description: tRNA tRNA-Gly
Rfam family: tRNA
About the family: Transfer RNA (tRNA) molecules are approximately 80 nucleotides in length.
Source: RNAcentral
GCGCCGGUGGUGUAAUGGUUAGCAUCGUUGCCUUCCAAGCAGUUGACCCGGGUUCGAUUCCCGGCCGACGCA